Non-coding RNA from Paramuricea clavata, 240 nucleotides. The record is from the annotation of a GenBank genome assembly. Lineage: Eukaryota; Metazoa; Cnidaria; Anthozoa; Malacalcyonacea; Plexauridae.
CUGGCCUUCUGUAGUAUAUAUAAACUUAUAUUAGCUAUAAUUCUGUUUAUGACUAUUUAACUGAAUAAGAACAAUUACUGCCUAUAUAUUCAACUAUAAGACUAUUUUGUUUACUUUGUAUGUUCGUUAAAAUAGCUCAACCAAGCUGCUCUCGGUAUAAAUGAUUGUUUAUGUCUGUCCGUAUGUGAAAUUGGCUCUAAAAGUGGGUUGCAACCUGUCCUUAAGUUAUAUUUAUGUCCG